UUUAAAUUGGGCGCCAUUAUGUUACGAACUGCUUUUUGGAUGGGCAGUGCCGCUAGCUCAGCGAUCUCUUUGGGCCAGGUUCUCCCCAAUGCCCGCAGUCCGUCAACAUAAACAAACAACAUCGAUAACGGUCGUCUCACAACACUAAACUCUCUGCGAUCUCUAACAAAAAUGUAAACAAACCAAAACAUAAACAUUCAAAUACAAGGCGGCGGAAAUUUGGAUCUUUGGUGGCCAUCGGUGUUCUUGGCCACUGCGUACCCACCCAACCUAGGAUGCCUGAAAAAGGUCUAGCAAUUCAUCAUCAUUACAAACUGGCUUUAAUUAUUCAGGCCGCAGGAUCGCUAAUCGACCGCCGUCUUAAAAUUUAGCGGUCAAAGCUAAUUGUUAAGAAAAGGACCGGAAAUGUUCUGCCACCCUUAUAUCGGCAGAAUUCUUUUGUUAACGCAGCUUAAAAUUAGGGUCACCUAAUCCUGAAGAGCUCCAAGGGAAAAGGAGGGACGCCGAAAGGUAUGGGAGAUUUACACACUCGAUUCCUUCAUCCUAAUUAAUUGCGACCCUUUUAUUUUAGCAACCGUCGAUCAAGGGUGAAUCUUUGGAAGGACGCCCAAUAGACUUAACAAUAUAAGGUAUUUGAAUUCUUAAAAACUACACAUUAUAUUAAUUGAUUUUCCUCAAUUUCAGGAAGUGGUGGGUUUGGGCUCGGCCCACCAGGAAAUCGCACCACCAGGAACUCGGAGGCUUAUGGAGUUUGGCUGGCCAACCUCGUGGUACCAACCGCUCGCGAGGAAAACUGGCCACUAUCGGAGGCACCACGACACGGAACGGACUCACCGGAGAUCUGGAGUCCGAGAAUGGUGACUGGGUCGCUGAUGAUUCCCUCACUCUUGCGUAAGCCGACUUCGUUUCCUCCAAAAAAAUUAUUUGUACGAAAACGGCGUAUCUUCCAAAAUUGAUUAUCUCCAACCAGGGAAAAUGUGGAUCUCCUCCAAAAUAAAUUAUACUGAGGCUCCUCCAAAAUGAACGUGGUACUCGCAAUAAUAUGUAGCUCCUCCAAAAAUAUGGUGUUCUUUGAACAAUGUGGUUUCUCCAGAAAUAUUUAUUGGGUUUCUUCAAAAAGAACGUGUUGCUCAAGAAAAAAUGAGGCUUCUCCAGAAUAAGGCAAUCUUCAAAACAGGUUAUAUCGUCUUCACGAAAAAUAUGCAUUCCUCAAGAAAAAGAAUCCCGGAGCCCUUUAUUAUGGGACCCCGGGUUCCCUAAACAAAAAUAAACAUUUUAUUUUUACUAAAGAAAAUUACAAAAAAAAACUAACUCACUUUUCACAAAAGUUUCACAAUG
Drosophila ficusphila is the source of this 1338-nucleotide long non-coding RNA. RefSeq lists it as uncharacterized. NCBI's taxonomy places the organism in Eukaryota, Metazoa, Arthropoda, Insecta, Diptera, Drosophilidae. The record is from RefSeq and is a predicted model, not a curated record. The transcript has 3 exons.